This 426-nucleotide long non-coding RNA is filed under the name Monodelphis domestica (gray short-tailed opossum). RNAcentral's name for it is "lncRNA (ENSMODG00000036095.2)". Lineage: Eukaryota; Metazoa; Chordata; Mammalia; Didelphimorphia; Didelphidae. The record is from RNAcentral.
CAUGCAAACUCCUUUUAGAAGAUUUUUCAUCACUGAAUUUGUAUCCUCAGUACGUAGCACAGUGCCUGGCAUAUAUGUGACCCCCCAAAUGAUUCAUUCAGCUGGAUAGCAAUGGGGAAUUUUGCUACAAUAAAAACGAAAUGGCAAUGGCAGCUUUCAACUUCCAAACUGAUGUAUCUUCAAAGAGAGUAUCUGCUCCUUUCCAUCCCUACCCCAAAGACACACUUAAACUCAAUUCCCAUCAUCUAAUAGAAGAGCAAAGCUACCAGGUUCCUCUUUUGGCUAUGAUUCUACUUUUUCGGAGAGAAGGAGUGAGGCACAGGAAUACAACUCGGAGUCCUUUCUUCAUUGACUUGAGGGCUUCUGGAGACUAAGUAGUAGAUGCAAUAUGCAGAAUAAACAUACUUAAAGUGCAUCUUAUUUGCA